Molecule: ribosomal RNA, 253 nt
Filed under: uncultured bacterium
Lineage: Bacteria
Description: partial 16S ribosomal RNA
Rfam family: Bacterial small subunit ribosomal RNA
Source: RNAcentral
UACAGAGGGUGCGAGCGUUAAUCGGAAUUACUGGGCGUAAAGGGUGCGCAGGUGGGUUUGCAAGUUCGAUGUGAAAGCCCCGGGCUUAACCCGGGAAUGGCAUUGGAUACUGCAGAUCUGGAGGAUCGGAGGGGGGACUGGAAUUCUUGGUGUAGCAGUGAAAUGCGUAGAUAUCAAGAGGAACACCAGUGGCGAAGGCGAGUCCCUGGACGAUACCUGACACUGAGGCACGAAAGCUAGGGGAGCAAACAGG